UCGUAACAAGGUUUCCGUAGGUGAACCUGCGGAAGGAUCAUUAAAUAAUCAAUAAUUUUGGCUUGUCCAUUAUUAUCUAUUUACUGUGAACUGUAUUAUUACUUGACGCUUGAGGGAUGCUCCACUGCUAUAAGGAUAGGCGGUGGGGAUGUUAACCGAGUCAUAGUCAAGCUUAGGCUUGGUAUCCUAUUAUUAUUUACCAAAAGAAUUCAGAAUUAAUAUUGUAACAUAGACCUAAAAAAUCUAUAAAACAACUUUUAACAACGGAUCUCUUGGUUCUCGCAUCGAUGAAGAACGUAGCAAAGUGCGAUAACUAGUGUGAAUUGCAUAUUCAGUGAAUCAUCGAGUCUUUGAACGCAACUUGCGCUCAUUGGUAUUCCAAUGAGCACGCCUGUUUCAGUAUCAAAACAAACCCUCUAUCCAGCAUUUUGUUGAAUAGGAAUACUGAGAGUCUCCUGAUCUAUUCUGAUCUCGAACCUCUUGAAAUGUACAAAGGCCUGAUCUUGUUUAAAUGCCUGAACUUUUUUUUAAUAUAAAGAGAAGCUCUUGCGGUAAACUGUGCUGGGGCCUCCCAAAUAAUACUCUUUUUAAAUUUGAUCUGAAAUCAGGCGGGAUUACCCGCUGAACCUAAGCAUAUC
This 638-nucleotide unclassified non-coding RNA is filed under the name Mucor circinelloides. RNAcentral's name for it is "sequence contains 18S rRNA gene, ITS1, 5.8S rRNA gene, ITS2, 28S rRNA gene". The stretch from base 253 to 405 matches the Rfam family "5.8S ribosomal RNA". Lineage: Eukaryota; Fungi; Mucoromycota; Mucoromycetes; Mucorales; Mucoraceae. The record is from RNAcentral.